UGGAAUGUCAUGGUUUAUGUUUGUGUCCCCCAGGACUCAUGAGUUUGCAUUGUUCACAUGUGAUGGUUCAUUGUAUAGUGCUUGGAUUGAUGAUGUCAGUGCUUAACCCACAUAGGGGUGGAGCCAGGAUGUGAUGUAAUGGCAGGAAGAAGGUGUGUUUUUCUCUUUGCUGGUUUGAGUUUGCUGUGGGUGGCCGACAUGAACUGCGGUCCAGCCAUGCCCGCCUGUCUUGGAGCCAACUGAGUGUGGACUGAAACCUCCAAAAACUGGGCACCGACAUUUAAUCCAGAUGUUUGCUUGUGUCAGUAAAACUUUCUUCAUGUUGAGGUUUGAAUGAUUACUAGCUCAUCAACUCCAAGCAACUGCUUACAAACAGACUGAACAAACAGACAACUGAUAUAUGGACGGACUGAAGAACAUCUCAAA
This is a long non-coding RNA of Cavia porcellus (domestic guinea pig), 426 nucleotides long. RefSeq lists it as uncharacterized. Lineage: Eukaryota; Metazoa; Chordata; Mammalia; Rodentia; Caviidae. The record is from RefSeq and is a predicted model, not a curated record. The transcript is spliced from 3 exons.